RNAcentral lists this ribosomal RNA (1888 nucleotides) under Argizala brasilensis. Its description in RNAcentral is "SSU rRNA". It matches the Rfam family "Eukaryotic small subunit ribosomal RNA". Lineage: Eukaryota; Metazoa; Arthropoda; Insecta; Orthoptera; Trigonidiidae. The record is from RNAcentral.
AGCCAUGCAUGUCUAAGUGCAAGCUGCAGUAAAGUGAAACCGCGAAUGGCUCAUUAAAUCAGUUAUGGUUCAUUGGAACAUGUACCGUUUACUUGGAUAACUUUGGCAAUUCUAGAGCUAAUACAUGCCUAACGAGUCUCAACCAGCAAUGGAAGGGACGCUUUUAUUAGAUCAAAACCAAUCGGCUCCGGCCUCGAGUUCGUCUCGGGCGUCGCGUGUCGUCGUAAUUUUGGUGACUCUGGAUAACUUUUGCUGAUCGUACGGUCUCCGCACCGAUGACGUACCUUUCAAAUGUCUGCCUUAUCAACUGUCGAUGGUAUGCUAUGCGCCUACCAUGGUUUUAACGGGUGACGGAGAAUCAGGGUUCGAUUCCGGAGAGGGAGCCUGAGAAACGGCUACCACAUCCAAGGAAGGCAGCAGGCGCGCAAAUUACCCACUCCUGGCACGGGGAGGUAGUGACGAAAAAUAACGAUAUGGGACUCAUCCGAGGCCCCAUAAUCGGAAUGAGGACACUUUAAAUCUUUUAUCAAGUAUCCAUUGGAGGGCAAGUCUGGUGCCAGCAGCCGCGGUAAUUCCAGCUCCAAUAGCGUAUAUUAAAGUUGCUGCGGUUAAAAAGCUCGUAGUUGAAUGUGUGUUCCGCGCUGCCGGUUCACCGCUCGUCGGUGUCUAACUGGCAUGCAUGCGGAACGUCCUGCUGGUGGUGGCGAGCGGGCGCGGUGGCGUGCGCGUCGAUGCGGCCGGUGUCGGCGACGGGUUGAGUAAUCUUCUCGCUCCCGCCCGGUUAUAGCAGGCGCGCGUCGCGUCGCGUCCGCGGACCCCGAGUACACCCGACGCGGUGCUCUUCACUGAGUGUCGCGCGGGCCAACACGUUUACUUUGAACAAAUUAGAGUGCUCAAAGCAGGCCCUUGUUUGCCUGAAUAAUUCUUGCAUGGAAUAAUAGAAUAGGAUCUCGGUUUUAUUUUGUUGGUUUUAGAAGCCCGAGAUAAUGAUUAAUGGGGAUUGCCGGGGGCAUCCGUAUUGCGACGUUAGAGGUGAAAUUCUUGGAUCGUCGCAAGACGAACUGCAGCGAAAGCGUUUGCCAAGUAUGUUUUCUUUAAUCCAGAACGAAAGUUAGAGGUUCGAAGGCGAUCAGAUACCGCCCUAGUUCUAACCAUAAACUAUGCCAUCUUGCGAUCCGCAGUGUUUCUUAGAUGUCACGGCGGGCAGCACCCCGGGAAACCUAAGAUUUUGGGUUCCGGGGGAAGUAUGGUUGCAAAGCUGAAACUUAAAGGAAUUGACGGAAGGGUACCACAAGCAAUGGGGCUUGCGGCUCAAUUUGACUCAACACGGGUAAACCUAUCAGGCCAAGACACCGAAAGGAUUGACAGAUUGAUAGCUCUUUCUCGAUACGGUGGGUGGUGGUGCAUGACCGUUCAUAGUUCGUGGUCCGAAUUGUCUGGUUAAUUCCGGUAACGAGCGAGACCCUUGCCUACUAACUAGUCGAUUCCGGCAUCCUUGGAGCAGCCGGCGACUUCUUAUCUUCUUAGAGGGACAAUCAGCUUCCAGCUGAACGAGACGGGGCAAUAACAGGUCUGAGAUGCCCUUAGAUGUUCUGGGCCGCACGCGUGCCACACUGAAAGCAGCAGCGUGUGUUUUCCCUGCCCGAGAGGGCUGGGUAACCCGUUCAAAUUCUUUCGUGCUAGGGAUUGGGGCUUGUAACUCUUCCCCACGAACGAGGAACUCCUAGUAAAUGUGAGUCAUCAGCUCGCGUUGAUUAUGUCCCUGCCCUUUGUCCACACCGCCCGUCGCUACUACCGAUUGAAUGAUUUAGUGAGGUCUUCGGACCAGUGCUCGGCCUCUGACAUGUGCUGAGGCCGGUGUCACAGGGAAGAUGACCGAACUUGAUCA